RNAcentral lists this ribosomal RNA (261 nucleotides) under uncultured archaeon. RNAcentral describes it as "partial 16S ribosomal RNA". It matches the Rfam family "Archaeal small subunit ribosomal RNA", at positions 748 to 1009 of the family's 1478-position model. The record is from RNAcentral.
CAGCCGUAAACUAUGCGCGUCAGGUGUAUCGGUGACCACGAGUUACCGAGGUGCCGAAGGGAAACCGUGAAACGUGCCGCCUGGGAAGUACGGUCGCAAGGCUGAAACUUAAAGGAAUUGGCGGGGGAGCACCACAACAGGUGGAGCCUGCGGUUUAAUUGGACUCAACGCCGGGAAGCUCACCGGAUAGGACAGCAGAAUGAUUGCCGGGCUGAAGACCCUGCAUGACUAGCUGAGAGGAGGUGCAUGGCGUAGACGUCU